UACGUAGGGUGCUAGCGUUGUCCGGAUUUAUUGGGCGUAAAGGGCUCGUAGGCGGCGUGUCGCGUCGGGAGUGAAAGCCCGUUGCUUAACGGCGGGUUGGCUUUCGGUACGGGCAGGCUAGAGUUCGGUAGGGGAGACUGGAAUUCCUGGUGUAGCGGUGAAAUGCGCAGAUAUCAGGAGGAACACCGGUGGCGAAGGCGGGUCUCUGGGCCGAUACUGACGCUGAGGAGCGAAAGCGUGGGGAGCGAACAGG
This 253-nucleotide ribosomal RNA is filed under the name uncultured bacterium. Its description in RNAcentral is "partial 16S ribosomal RNA". It matches the Rfam family "Bacterial small subunit ribosomal RNA", at positions 524 to 776 of the family's 1533-position model. The record is from RNAcentral.